UGCAAGUCGAACGGUCUCUUCGGAGGCAGUGGCAGACGGGUGAGUAAUGCAUGGGAAUCUACCGUUCUCUACGGAAUAACUCAGGGAAACUUGUGCUAAUACCGUAUACGCCCUUUUGGGGAAAGAUUUAUCGGAGAAUGAUGAGCCCAUGUUGGAUUAGCUAGUUGGUAGGGUAAAGGCCUACCAAGGCGACGAUCCAUAGCUGGUCUGAGAGGAUGAUCAGCCACACUGGGACUGAGACACGGCCCAGACUCCUACGGGAGGCAGCAGUGGGGAAUAUUGGACAAUGGGCGCAAGCCUGAUCCAGCCAUGCCGCGUGAGUGAUGAAGGCCCUAGGGUUGUAAAGCUCUUUCACCGGUGAAGAUAAUGACGGUAACCGGAGAAGAAGCCCCGGCUAACUUCGUGCCAGCAGCCGCGGUAAUACGAAGGGGGCUAGCGUUGUUCGGAUUUACUGGGCGUAAAGCGCACGUAGGCGGACUUUUAAGUCAGGGGUGAAAUCCCGGGGCUCAACCCCGGAACUGCCUUUGAUACUGGAAGUCUUGAGUAUGGAAGAGGUAAGUGGAAUUGCGAGUGUAGAGGUGAAAUUCGUAGAUAUUCGCAGGAACACCAGUGGCGAAGGCGGCUUACUGGUCCAUUACUGACGCUGAGGUG
Molecule: ribosomal RNA, 651 nt
Filed under: uncultured Pseudochrobactrum sp.
Lineage: Bacteria; Pseudomonadati; Pseudomonadota; Alphaproteobacteria; Hyphomicrobiales; Brucellaceae
Description: bacterial SSU rRNA
Rfam family: Bacterial small subunit ribosomal RNA
Source: RNAcentral